Molecule: unclassified non-coding RNA, 220 nt
Filed under: plant metagenome
Description: partial contains small subunit ribosomal RNA, internal transcribed spacer 1, and 5.8S ribosomal RNA
Source: RNAcentral
UCUCCGUUGGUGAACCAGCGGAGGGAUCAUUACAGAGUUGCAAAACUCCCAAACCCUUGUGAACAUACCCGUUACAGUUGCUUCGGUGGGCGGCCCCAGGGCGGGGCCGCAGCCUCUUCUCACGAGGCGCCCGCCGGAGGUAUAUAACUCUCUGUAAUAUGGUCUCUCUGAGUAAAUUUAUAAUAAGUCAAAACUUUUAACAACGGAUCUCUUGGUUCUG